AUGCUACGACAAAGUUGCACCCACGAGGCGACCAUGGUGCUGGAACCAGCUACGACCAGUGGCGGAGACAGGCCUGGGGCAGCUAGGGCUAUAGCCCCAGACAAUAAAGAGACAAGCAAUACAGUUAUACAGAGGCUACAAUUAAGCUGUAUGUGUGUGGAAGAGGUGAUCAAAGAUGGAGCUGCAGGAUCAGGUAUGGUUUUACGUGAUGACAAGGGUGGUGUUAUUUUUGCGGCUUACCGACGCAUUUAUUACUGCAAUGAGGCGCUGGAAGCGCAGUUACAUGCGAUUAUGGAAGGAAAAGCGAUGAAUUUUGAUGCUUCGUCAAACGAGGAGUAUAGACCGACAGAGCUUGAUAAAAUGAUUGAAGCCGAGUUCUUUAGUUUGUCACAUUCAAACGAAGAAGUGGAUAUGAUCAUGCUAUGA
This 426-nucleotide ribosomal RNA is filed under the name Triticum aestivum (bread wheat). Its description in RNAcentral is "partial small subunit ribosomal RNA". Lineage: Eukaryota; Viridiplantae; Streptophyta; Magnoliopsida; Poales; Poaceae. The record is from RNAcentral.